RNAcentral lists this ribosomal RNA (506 nucleotides) under uncultured bacterium. RNAcentral's name for it is "partial 16S ribosomal RNA". It matches the Rfam family "Bacterial small subunit ribosomal RNA", at positions 29 to 523 of the family's 1533-position model. The record is from RNAcentral.
AUUGAACGCUGGCGGCAGGCCUAACACAUGCAAGUCGAGCGGCAGCGGGAAAGUAGCUUGCUACUUUUGCCGGCGAGCGGCGGACGGGUGAGUAAUGCCUGGGGAUCUGCCCAGUCGAGGGGGAUAACUACUGGAAACGGUAGCUAAUACCGCAUACGCCCUACGGGGAAAGCAGGGGACCUUCGGGCCUUGCGCGAUUGGAUGAACCCAGGUGGGAUAGCUAGUUGGUGAGGUAAUGGCUCACCAAGGCGACGAUCCCUAGCUGGUCUGGGAGGAUGAUCAGCCACAAUGGAACUGGGACACGGUCCAGACUCCUACGGGAGGCAGCAGUGGGGAAUAUUGCACAAUGGGGGAAACCCUGAUGCAGCCAUGCCGCGUGUGUGAAGAAGGCCUUCGGGUUGUAAAGCACUUUCAGCGAGGAGGAAAGGUUGGUAGCUAAUAACUGCCAGCUGUGACGUUACUCGCAGAAGAAGCACCGGCUAACUCCGUGCCAGCAGCCGCCGUAA